Molecule: long non-coding RNA, 1552 nt
Filed under: Citrus x clementina
Lineage: Eukaryota; Viridiplantae; Streptophyta; Magnoliopsida; Sapindales; Rutaceae
Description: Citrus clementina (C. clementina) long non-coding RNA (CCLE_LNC005361)
Source: RNAcentral
UAUAAUGAGUAAAUCUUAGCCAUCAAAUGAAAACAAUUUAGACGCUCAAGAUUGCGCCAUAUGGCAAGAUUUAAUAGGUUGGAACACAUCAUCAGUCAAUACCACAUCAAUAUUUCGGUCCAAUAAUAUGCUGCCAUGUCAUCAGUCAACGCCACAUCAGUAUUUUGACCUAAUAUGAUCUUGCCACAUCAUCGGUCAACGCCACAUAAUUAGUCAAUGCCACAUCAUUGGGCCAAUAACAUGAUGCCACGCCAUCAAGAUUGCGCCAUAUGGCAAGAUUUAAUAGGUUGGAACACAUCAUCAGUCAAUACCACAUCAAUAUUUCGGUCCAAUAAUAUGUUGCCAUGUCAUCAGUCAACGCCACAUCAGUAUUUUGACCUAAUAGGAUCUUGCCACAUCAUCGGUCAAUGCUACAUAAUUAGUCAAUGCCACAUAAUUAGUCAAUGCCACAUCAUUGGGCCAAUAACAUGAUGCCAUGUCAUCGAUCAAUAUCACGUCAUCUAUCAAUGCAACGUCAUCAUACCGUAUACGUGAACAUUACUGUACAUGUGAAUAGUACCAUAUACAUGAAUAAUAUCGUAUAUGUGAACAAUACCGUGUAUCCUUUUAUGCUCGUCUUAAGGCUUUCAGCUGUUCUGAGCUCAAAAAUACCAUCCAUUUUACUAUAUUACUUUUUGUUAAUUGUAAAACAAUCAAAAUGCCUCUGAAAUACAUAAAAUACUUGAAUUAUAAUAAAAUACACACAAUUAAAGUACAAGGGAUUUAAAUACAUAAAAGUAGAGAUAUUAGUGAGAGUUGGAAUAGGAAAUGAUGAUUUUACCUUUUUAUAAAUAUACAUUCUCUAGCACUCAAUAGCAAUAAUUGACAAUGAACUUUGUAAAUCUUUUUAACGGCAUUUUGAGGGAAAUAAGGAAAACACUGAUGCAUUUUAUGUGUAUUUUUUCAUAUUUGAUUUUGGUGUUUCAAUUAUUGUGGGAAACAAAAGAUAUUGAUUUAAAAAAGUCACGAAGUACCAUUAUCUGCCAUUUAUACAGGAAAAUGAAUCAAAGCACAUCAAAGAAACGAAUUAAUUCGGCAAAAUCAAGUCAAACAUGAACGCGAACAAAAUAAUAAAAUAAAGACACGCAAUGUAAAAAAUGAAUAUAAUAAAAUACUUAACUCACCUUCAUCUUUUAUUGAGUUAACCUCAAGUUUAAAUUAGAAUACCACUUUCUAUUUCCCUGAGUUGUCUUUUUAGAUCCUCAACAUGAGAUAUUAAUGCUGAUGGUUGUAAAUCCAAAGAGGGUGGGUUUUACAAAAUUGUAUCAGGCCUCUUAUAUGAAAUUUCACACGUAAAAGUUGCCCAAGAUGUUUGAAGAGAAUCUUUCUUAUUGAGGUACGCAUGACGUAUAUUAAAAAUGAUUAAAUGAAACACAAUUGUCAAACAAACACACUUAAGCGAGAAACAUCAUAACAUGUAUCAUCCAAGACAUAGAAAGAAACAAUAAAACAAUUAAAAAAUAGUAAAGUAACAAUUUCAAAAAGAAAAAGAAAAAGAAAAAUUACCCAUUAA